This 295-nucleotide long non-coding RNA is filed under the name Capsella rubella. RNAcentral's name for it is "long non-coding RNA (CRUB_LNC004868)". Lineage: Eukaryota; Viridiplantae; Streptophyta; Magnoliopsida; Brassicales; Brassicaceae. The record is from RNAcentral.
UUUGAAUCUUUAAUCGAAAUCCUUAUUUCGAUUUUUCUUGAUCGAUCAUCCUUGACAUCACUAAUGGAACUCAUUAGCUUUAAAUUUUUACACUUCUUUAUACAAUUAACGUCGGCAAAACCGUGGCACAGGCUAAUACAAAAAAAAAAGGAUAAGACUGGAAAAAUAAAGAUUAAGAAGACAAAUCAGAAAAGAAAGAGUAUUGAAUAAUAAUAAAUCUCUCCCUUAUAUAAACACCAAGAGCGUGGAAGCCAAAGAGCAAUUUUCUCCUUACAACACCAAAAAGCAAAAAAAU